AAGACGGUGGCAGAGUGGUUAUGCGAUUGGCUUGAAACCAGUAUAUGGGGGUUCAAUUCCUCCCCUUCUCG
RNAcentral lists this transfer RNA (71 nucleotides) under Betadevario ramachandrani. RNAcentral's name for it is "tRNA-Ser". It matches the Rfam family "tRNA". Rfam says of the family: Transfer RNA (tRNA) molecules are approximately 80 nucleotides in length. Their secondary structure includes four short double-helical elements and three loops (D, anti-codon, and T loops). Lineage: Eukaryota; Metazoa; Chordata; Actinopteri; Cypriniformes; Danionidae. The record is from RNAcentral.